RNAcentral lists this ribosomal RNA (500 nucleotides) under uncultured bacterium. RNAcentral describes it as "partial 16S ribosomal RNA". It matches the Rfam family "Bacterial small subunit ribosomal RNA", at positions 30 to 523 of the family's 1533-position model. The record is from RNAcentral.
AUUGAACGCUGGCGGCAUGCCUUACACAUGCAAGUCGAACGGCAGCACGGGAGCAAUCCUGGUGGCGAGUGGCGAACGGGUGAGUAAUGUAUCGGAACGUGCCCAGUCGUGGGGGAUAACGUAGCGAAAGCUACGCUAAUACCGCAUACGAUCUAUGGAUGAAAGCGGGGGAUCGCAAGACCUCGCGCGAUUGGAGCGGCCGAUAUCAGAUUAGGUAGUUGGUGGGGUAAAGGCUCACCAAGCCGACGAUCUGUAGCCGGUCUGAGAGGACGACCAGCCACACUGGGACUGAGACACGGCCCAGACUCCUACGGGAGGCAGCAGUGGGGAAUUUUGGACAAUGGGCGCAAGUCUGAUCCAGCAAUGCCGCGUGCAGGAUGAAGGCCUUCGGGUUGUAAACUGCUUUUGUACGGAACGAAACGGCGAGCUCUAAUACAGUUUGCUAAUGACGGUACCGUAAGAAUAAGCACCGGCUAACUACGUGCCAGCCGCCGCAGUAA